AUGGUAGAGUUAAAGGCCAAAUCUGCCAUAUAGUAGGGAGUAUAUGAAGCCAGGAGGAAGGAUCCAGGAUAUGAACCAUGACAGAAUACACACACAUUUUGGAGAUGCGUGCUUUCUCCAAGCUCUGAGGACCAUCACAAAGACAUGUUAACUGAAAGAACACCAAGUGAUGACUGAAUAGGUCCUAACUAUUGGAGGCUGUACAAGAAGCAUGGCACAAAACUCUAGUUGUCUUCUGGUGAAGAUCUCAGAAGUUUCCACUCAUGGCAGAAGGUAGGUGGAGAAGAAGGAGCUAAUGAAGAAAAAGAAACAAGUUGUCAAGAAGUGGGAAGAGAACCAGGACAACACAGCAUCAUGUCAGACAGUAAAAGAGUACAAUUUCAAGAAGGAAGAGUGCCCAAUAGCCCCUUGGCUAUAGAAGAAUCAAAGAGCAGGAGAAACAGGGAAAGGCCUUUAAUUUUGUGAUUAGGAUGUCAAAGGUGACCUCCCAGGCAUUACAACGUAGCAACUGAAAGAAAGUGAAUGUGAUCUAGAGAGAGAAUUCAACAAUGUGACCCAAUUAGCUUAAUGCCUCAAAUUACCAAAAUUGUACAGAUUUUUAGUAAAUUUUAAGCUGAUAAAUGUUACUACCAUCAGAGACCAUGGAAGGGAAUACUAAAAUACCUCAGGAAGACACAGAUUAAGUAUCCACUUACUUUAUACCAUAUGUAUAGCCUUUGUUUCAAUGAUGUUGAUAAUAUUAAUGCAACGUUGCUAAAAGUAAACACCCUCUAUAUUCUAGGCACUGUACUGAGCACUUUAACAUAUUUAGUUAACAGCACAAUUCUGCAUUCUGGAGUUGAGGAAACUGAGUUUUGGAAAGUUAAGUAUUGCUUCUGAGAUUCUAUGGCCGGUGAACA
Long non-coding RNA from Sapajus apella (tufted capuchin), 899 nucleotides. RefSeq lists it as uncharacterized. The record is from RefSeq and is a predicted model, not a curated record. The transcript is spliced from 3 exons. Lineage: Eukaryota; Metazoa; Chordata; Mammalia; Primates; Cebidae.